CGAAGUGUGGCGGAAUAGGCAGACGCAUUAGUUUCAAAAACUAAAGAGGUCAUUCUUGUGCGGGUUCAAGUCCCGCCACUUCGACCA
RNAcentral lists this transfer RNA (87 nucleotides) under [Clostridium] innocuum. RNAcentral's name for it is "tRNA_Leu_CAA". It matches the Rfam family "tRNA". From Rfam's summary of the family: Transfer RNA (tRNA) molecules are approximately 80 nucleotides in length. Lineage: Bacteria; Bacillati; Bacillota; Clostridia; Eubacteriales; Clostridiaceae. The record is from RNAcentral.